UCGGGAAUUUUGGACAAUGGGCGCAAGCCUGAUCCAGCCAUGCCGCGUGCAGGAUGAAGGCCUUCGGGUUGUAAACUGCUUUUGUACGGAACGAAAAGGCUCUUUCUAAUAAAGAGGGCCCAUGACGGUACCGUAAGAAUAAGCACCGGCUAACUACGUGCCAGCAGCCGCGGUAAUACGUAGGGUGCGAGCGUUAAUCGGAAUUACUGGGCGUAAAGCGUGCGCAGGCGGUUCUAUAAGACAGAUGUGAAAUCCCCGGGCUCAACCUGGGAAUGGCAUUUGUGACUGUAGAGCUAGAGUACGGUAGAGGGGGAUGGAAUUCCGCGUGUAGCAGUGAAAUGCGUAGAUAUGCGGAGGAACACCGAUGGCGAAGGCAAUCCCCUGGACCUGUACUGACGCUCAUGCACGAAAGCGUGGGGAGCAAACAGGAUUAGAUACCCUAGUAGUCCCUGAGCGGGCUGGCAAGGCGCAU
This 472-nucleotide ribosomal RNA is filed under the name uncultured bacterium. RNAcentral's name for it is "bacterial SSU rRNA". It matches the Rfam family "Bacterial small subunit ribosomal RNA", at positions 355 to 825 of the family's 1533-position model. The record is from RNAcentral.